RNAcentral lists this transfer RNA (72 nucleotides) under Camelus bactrianus (Bactrian camel). It matches the Rfam family "tRNA". From Rfam's summary of the family: Transfer RNA (tRNA) molecules are approximately 80 nucleotides in length. Their secondary structure includes four short double-helical elements and three loops (D, anti-codon, and T loops). Further hydrogen bonds mediate the characteristic L-shaped molecular structure. tRNAs have two regions of fundamental functional importance: the anti-codon, which is responsible for specific mRNA codon recognition, and the 3' end, to which the tRNAs corresponding amino acid is attached (by aminoacyl-tRNA synthetases). tRNAs cope with the degeneracy of the genetic code in two manners: having more than one tRNA (with a specific anti-codon) for a particular amino acid; and 'wobble' base-pairing, i.e. permitting non-standard base-pairing at the 3rd anti-codon position. The record is from Rfam by way of RNAcentral. RNAcentral also lists the same sequence under 2 other names. Lineage: Eukaryota; Metazoa; Chordata; Mammalia; Artiodactyla; Camelidae.
GAGGGUAGAGCUCAGUGGUAGAGCACGUGCUUAGCAUGCGCGAGGUCCUGGGUUCAAUCCCCGGUACCUCCA